GAUGAACGCUGACAGAAUGCUUAACACAUGCAAGUCAACUUGAAUUUGGGUUUUUAACUUGGAUUUGGGUGGCGGACGGGUGAGUAACGCGUAAAGAACUUGCCUCACAGCUAGGGACAACAUUUAGAAAUGAAUGCUAAUACCUGAUAUUAUGAUUUUAAGGCAUCUUAGAAUUAUGAAAGCUAUAAGCACUGUGAGAGAGCUUUGCGUCCCAUUAGCUAGUUGGAGAGGUAAUAGCUCACCAAGGCGAUGAUGGGUAGCCGGCCUGAGAGGGUGAACGGCCACAAGGGGACUGAGACACGGCCCUUACUCCUACGGGAGGCAGCAGUGGGGAAUAUUGGACAAUGGACCAAGAGUCUGAUCCAGCAAUUCUGUGUGCACGAUGAAGUUUUUCGGAAUGUAAAGUGCUUUCAGUUGGGAAGAAAUAAAUGACGGUACCAACAGAAGAAGUGACGGCUAAAUACGUGCCAGCAGCCGCGGUAAUACGUAUGUCACGAGCGUUAUCCGGAUUUAUUGGGCGUAAAGCGCGUCUAGGUGGUUAUGUAAGUCUGAUGUGAAAAUGCAGGGCUCAACUCUGUAUUGCGUUGGAAACUGUAUAACUAGAGUACUGGAGAGGUAAGCGGAACUACAAGUGUAGAGGUGAAAUUCGUAGAUAUUUGUAGGAAUGCCGAUGGGGAAGCCAGCUUACUGGACAGAUACUGACGCUAAAGCGCGAAAGCGUGGGUAGCAAACAGG
This 735-nucleotide ribosomal RNA is filed under the name uncultured Fusobacterium sp. RNAcentral's name for it is "bacterial SSU rRNA". It matches the Rfam family "Bacterial small subunit ribosomal RNA", at positions 28 to 776 of the family's 1533-position model. Lineage: Bacteria; Fusobacteriati; Fusobacteriota; Fusobacteriia; Fusobacteriales; Fusobacteriaceae. The record is from RNAcentral.